AACAAACGCUGGCGGCGUGCCUAAUACAUGCAAGUCGAACGGGGAAAGUAGCAAUAUGAGUACUAGUGGCGCACGGGUGAGUAAUACGUGGAUAAUCUGCCUUCAAGUGGGGGAUAACUAGUCGAAAGAUUAGCUAAUACCGCAUAAGACCACAGGAUCUGAGGAUCUAGGGGUUAAAGGUUUUUCGCUUGAAGAUGAGUCCGCGUGAGAUUAGCUAGUUGGUGAGGUAAUGGCUCACCAAGGCAACGAUCUCUAACUGGUCUGAGAGGAUGAUCAGUCACACUGGAACUGAGACACGGUCCAGACUCCUACGGGAGGCAGCAGUAGGGAAUAUUGCACAAUGGAGGAAACUCUGAUGCAGCGACGCCGCGUGAGUGAUGAAGGCCUUCGGGUCGUAAAGCUCUGUCGCAGGGGAAUAACACAAUGAAUGUACCCUGCAAGAAAGGAUCGGCUAACUUCGUGCCAGCAGCCGCGGUAAGACGAGGGAUCCUAGCGUUGUUCGGAAUUAUUGGGCGUAAAGCGGGUGUAGGUGGCUUUGUAAGUUAGAUGUGAAAGCCCCGGGCUCAACCUGGGAAUUGCAUUUAAAACUGUCCAGCUAGAGUCUUGUAGAGGGGGGUAGAAUUCCAGGUGUAGCGGUGAAAUGCGUAGAGAUCUGGAGGAAUACCGGUGGCGAAGGCGGCCCCCUGGACAAAGACUGACGCUCAGGUGCGAAAGCGUGGGGAGCAAACAGGAUUAGAUACCCUGGUAGUCCACGCCCUAAACGAUGUCAACUGGUUGUUGGACGGCUUGCUGUUCAGUAACGAAGCUAACGCGUGAAGUUGACCGCCUGGGGAGUACGGCCGCAAGGUUG
RNAcentral lists this ribosomal RNA (850 nucleotides) under uncultured delta proteobacterium. Its description in RNAcentral is "bacterial SSU rRNA". It matches the Rfam family "Bacterial small subunit ribosomal RNA", at positions 28 to 896 of the family's 1533-position model. Lineage: Bacteria; Deltaproteobacteria. The record is from RNAcentral.